AUUAUUUGAUUCCAGUAUAGUCUUUAUUUAAUUUGGCGAUUUGGAUGGUUGAUGAUUUUAGAUUUUGUUGUUUUAGAUUUUUUGUUAUUUUUGAUCUGGUAUUAGUAUAGAUUUUAGAUAGUUUGGAUCCAAACUUCGGUGACUUUGCUCCGGGACCGGUGAAGGUGGAACGAAAAGGAAGAAGAAGAGGCGACUUUGCUCCAGGAAAUGAUUUCUCCGACUUGAAGAAGAGGCGACUUUGCUCUGGGAAAUGAUUUCUCCGACUUUUCUCCGACUUUUUCUCUUCUUACGUAUCAUUGGUGGAGGUGGUGGCUAUGGAGGUCGCCGGAAAAGUGGUGGCAGUGGUGGCUAGGUUAUAGACAAUUGGUCUUUAAUUUUCGAUUUGUGUUGAUUGUUGUCGCCAUUGUUGAUUGCAAUGAAAAAGAUGAGAAAGAGAAAAUAGAAUUGAAAAUGGAAUAUUAGAAAUGUUAAUUUAUAUUUUGACUGUUUUGCCCUUUGUUUAAUAAGAGUUGUUUAUUUAAUAAUUAAAAAAAAUAAAUUUGCCACAAACUUCUUAAGGCCCCACAUAAUAAGCCACGUCAGCAAUUGCUGACGUGGCGUGUUCAAUUUGUGUAAUUAAAAAAAAUUAAUAGUUUAAUAAUCUAAUUGGCAAAAUUAAAAAGCAGAUCACCAAAAUGAAAUAUGCCAUAUAGUUUAGCCUACUAAUUACUACUACUAUACUCCUCUUAUGCUAUUCAUUCAUUCCAUCACCAGUAAAUCAAAUGCAUACGAAAUAGACACGCACGGCACAGAGACUGACUGACUGACUGACUGACUGACUCACCAACACAUCUUUUUUAGAAGAAAGCAGAAAGAAAACCCUACCCUUUGCAGAUUCAAUAAAUAAGCUUAUCAACAUAGCCACCCUCUCUAAUCAUACACUCAACUUCUUCAUAAAAAUAUAAUCCUCCAAUAAUCUUACUACCACAUGAUCAUAUGAAUAAAAAUAUAAAUCCCUACAAAAAUAUGACAUGCUCAAACUUCAACUCUAGGUUGAUGAAUACGUACUGUACUACAAACCCCGGAAAAUAAAAAGUUAUGUAGGUUAAUUACGUACGUACACCUUCAAAUCUUAAGUACCACAUGCAUAAUCAACACUGCAGACUACCCUGAAACCACCGGCGAUGCAAGUAAUGGAAUUAACUCUGGGAGACCAAACACACUUGAGCAUUUGACGUAUUUAUUUAACCACAAACCUCAAGAGGCACAGCAGAGUCAAGUUUCACACGAUUCAGUCUCACUGUGCCAAGAACAUGCUCUGGGAGUUCUCCUUCUUCUCUUCCCUGCAAAACAGCUGUUGUCAAUAUACUCAUGUAGGACAUGAAUAUUUAGUUGCGAAACAAGUGAACAAUCACACUCAAGUAACUGUCACCAAAAGACGAACACCAGAAAAGAGAAAAACACAGGACAAUGUAACUAAGUGUAAACAAAUAAAAUAAAAUUGCUUCAGCAGGUUGCGCAUAGAAGCAGGAAUUAUAACAAGUCAUGUACCAAGCAUAAAUUUUCUCACUUUGUUCAAGUCCUGAAGAUAAUAAUAACAAGGUUCAAACUCAAAAGUCAUGCUAGGCACAACUGUUGUAAUGCCUUGUUCUCACAUAUAUCUUCCUUCUUCAAGACUUUCAUUUAACAUAAAAAUAACAAUAACAUACAGGACUGAAAGGAAAUGAAGAAGAAGUAGACACGGACCUCUAUCAAGAUUGCAAGAUCAACAACGAGACUUGUUACAUAUCCGAGGACAAGACCAAUGACACUCCUUGCUACCGAUGAUGAGCCGAUAUCUACAUCAAUCUGUGCAUAUGACAUGUCAAUAUGUUUAUAAAUUGCAAGGUCAAGUAACAAACAUCUCACUACUUGAUAAUAAUAAUAAUAUAGGCAUUAAAUUAUGAUACGAAUUAGUGAUUACGAUGUUGGCUUAAAUACAAUUUAAACCUUUAAGUUUUUCGUAUUUUACAACAUAAACCCUAAUGUUUCAAUUGUAAGAAAUGGAACCUUAAUAUCCUUUAAUUUCUAUAAAUAAAACUUUUUGGCCACCAAAGUUGGCAUUUCUUGCCGGAAUAAGUCACGUGUCUCAAAAUGAAAGGGUAAUUUAGUUUUUUAAAGGUAUAAAUACUGUUUAUAUUGGCUUCAUUUUUUCUCUUUUUUUUUACCCAUCAUCACACACUAAAAACAUAAAUACAAUUUUCUGUACUUCCAAAGAUAUUUAGGAGUAAUUUCCCAAAAUAACCUCAUUCGUAUCAAUUAUUACACGUCGGUGGCUGGAAUGUUUUAUUCAUAGAAAUUUAGGAACAUUAAGGUUCAAUGUCUUAUAAUUAAAUAUUGGAAUUUAAGUUGUAAAAUGCGAAAAACUUAAGGUUUAAAAAGUGUAUUCAAGAACAAUUAAACUAGGAAAGCAACAGAUUCUAUAAACUCUUCACCCAACCAUAUAUAAUCAUGAUAGAAUAUACCCACAAUUGCAUACAAGAAGUUCACAAUAAUAAAUUUCAACACCAUUACAGCAUGACAUAUAACUUUAAGACGAUUCAAAGAUUACUUUGCCAAAUUAAGGAGAGAAGAUAGCGAGAGAGAGAGAGNNNNNNNNNNNNNNNNNNNNNNNNNNNNNNNNNNNNNNNNNNNNNNNNNNNNNNNNNNNNNNNNNNNNNNNNNNNNNNNNNNNNNNNNNNNNNNNNNNNNGAAUAAAACCUUACUUCUUUAUAUAUGAAGCCAGCCCCAGCCCCAGGGCAUCUAAUUGAGAAUCCAAUAAGUUUGUAGUAGCACUGAUCAACUUGAAAUUGGAUUGAUAAACAGUGGGACAUGCUGCUUCAAACAACAAUUAGCGUAUCUUAAUGCAAAAUAAAGGUUAUUCGUGCGGCCCCUUGGGGUGUAAUUAUUAGUCAAAAUUAUGUUUUGAAUGAUUGAAAAUAGCUGUAAGAGAAUAUAUUUUACUGUAGCAAACUUAUUCUACGUUGUGUGGAUAUGAUAUGAUAGAUGGUCAAACGGAGAACUGUAAAAAAAUUGGACAAGUUUGAAUUAUAAUGAGGAAAGUUGGUGGUGGUAGGCUCAGGGCCAGGCUAGGCUAGGCUAGGCUCGUAAACAAAAAGUUACCUAGAAUUCACUUUCAGCUGCUCCAUUCCUCUCCUCCUCAAACAUUAUUUUAUUUUAUUUAAUUAGUGUAAUUAAUUAUUUUAAUUGAGUAAAUUAUUUAAUUUAAUUAGAGAAGGUUUUAAUUAUAAGAGGGAAUGAUUGAGCAUGGUAAUUAAUUAAUUAUAUCAGGAAAGACUAUUGAAUUUGGUUGGUAGGGGAGUGAAUGGACAGACAGUAAAAGGAUAGAUAAGGGUAAGAAAGGAGAAAUAAGUGAAAAUGCAGUGUACUUUUUCUCCUGCCUUCUAACUUUUAUACUGUAAGUUUUUAUUUAAACAGAAAUAAUUUAAAUUUCUCCAAUUUUUAGUUUUUUUAGGGAGGAAAUAGAGGUAAAAAAUUGAUUCAAUUUUCCCCUCAAAAGUGGGAGAAUUCAGAGGGAUGGAAAAGUAAAAUAUUUUACAUUGCCAAAAUAACCUUAUAAAAUAUAUGACAAAUUUGCCCUCAUUAUUACAACUUUAUUUCAGCUAAUUUUAAUUGAUUUGUAUGCACAAAAAAAAAAAGCAGUAUGAAAAAUAGCAUAAGAUCUCGAGUAAAAAAUUUCAACCAGUGACGGUAGCAUUAAAAUACAACUUUUUUGGGAAAAUAAGAUUGGAUAAGAAAUCAGGCUUGGAUUUUGUGGAAGAGAAAAACAAAAGAGCGCUCAGUAAUUUCAGCUGCAAUCAUCUGCGAAAAUAAUCAUCACUUCCAUCUUAUUCAAUUACUAUUCAUAAAUGAAAAUAAAUUAAAAAAAAAAAAGAAAAAAGAAAAAUAGAUCAAAUUUCUCCAGAUGUGAUAAAAAUUACCUCCUGCAGAGGUUUAGUGAAAAGAUACAGAAACGGAGUACAUAAUUUUUUGUGCUUAUUCAAAUUACAAGUACGUUUUUUUAACAAAAAAUAAAUAUAGAAUAUAUAUAUAUANNNNNNNNNNNNNNNNNNNNNNNNNNNNNNNNNNNNNNNNNNNNNNNNNNNNNNNNNNNNNNNNNNNNNNNNNNNNNNNNNNNNNNNNNNNNNNNNNNNNAAAGUAAUAUAAUAAUAAUGUAAUUUAAAAAUAAGAAUCCCAAACAUAACCGUCCCUUCUUUUUUAAAACUCACAAACAUAAUCAAAGAAAAAUUAUACUAAUCCCUUGCUAUAUUUUUUCUUCUCAUCUCGUUCUUCCAAACUCACACGCAACAUUACAAACGUAACAUUAGUAGUAUUAAAGCGUUUUGUGUCGUUCAAGACAAAGGGCUAGUGCCUAGUGCCUAGUGCCUAGUAGUAGUGUUAAAUCUUCUUAAUUGUAUAGUUAUGAAAUACUGAAUCCCCAAAACAAAACUUGUUUCAAAAAGAAAAAGUCAACUUUCCGUUAGCAAAAUUGACGGAACUCUAAAACCCCUAAUUUGCCUCAUCCACGUCAUCUCGUUACAUAUAUUAUUAUUGUAUUUAUCUUUAAAAAAAUAUACAAAAUGAAAAUGGAUGACCAAAUGGUCACAGGAAGAUGUAUAUAUAUAUAUAUAUAUAUGUAUAUCUCUCUUUGCAGGUAUUCAUUAUUUCAUUGUUGUCCCGUGAGGAGAGUGCGUGCAGGUGCAGGUGCAGGUGCAGUGACCGAAACUAUUCAAUUUUUAGUGUUGCUCCCGUGAGUUUGGACGGACACGGACUAUUCAAUUUUUAGAGAAAAACAUAAAAAUAAUUUCUAAGUUAACUCGAUUAAAAUAAUACAUUCUAUAUACUAAUUAGGCUUAAAUAUGAAUUAAAAUCCUAAAUUAUAGGACAUAUUCCACUUCGAUGAUCCAUCUUUCAAUUUUAUCAAUUAGGUGUUUAAACUAUCAAUUUUUUUCAAUUGAAAAAAUUAAACACGCCACGUCAGAAAUUACUGACGUGGCUAAAUGAAGUGGGGUCUUAACAAGCUUACGUGGCAAAUAAAUAAUUUUUUAAUCAUUAAAUAAAUAAAUCCAUUUAAAUAAAGGGUAAAAUGGUCCAAACUUAAUUUAAACAUUAACUUAAAAUUCAUUCCAACAAAUAAUUCACAUCUGCAAACCCUCGAUCUAAAAAACCCACCAGUCUUUCUAAAAAACCUUAGCCGAAGAAGAAAUCGUCGGAGAAGAAGUCGCCGAAGAAGAAGACCUGUCCUCCACGUCCUUCACCGGAGCUGUAUUCCUUUCUGGUUCCAGUGCCGGUUUGGACUCGCACACACGCACCAACGGAAUCAAACAGAAGGUCAGCCUGGAGCUAGUUUAGAUGUUGGAUCUGAUCUUGCCAGUGGGUUGAUUCUGGUAUAGUCUUUAUGUGCUUUCGAUCUAGCCUCUUGAUUUAUUAAUUAUUUUAUUAGUGUUCAUUAUUUGAUUCCAGUAUAGUCUUUAUUUAAUUUGGCGAUUUGGAUGGUUGAUGAUUUUAGAUUUUGUUGUUUUAGAUUUUUUGUUAUUUUUGAUCUGGUAUUAGUAUAGAUUUUAGAUAGUUUGGAUCCAAACUUCGGUGACUUUGCUCCGGGACCGGUGAAGGUGGAACGAAAAGGAAGAAGAAGAGGCGACUUUGCUCCAGGAAAUGAUUUCUCCGACUUGAAGAAGAGGCGACUUUGCUCUGGGAAAUGAUUUCUCCGACUUUUCUCCGACUUUUUCUCUUCUUACGUAUCAUUGGUGGAGGUGGUGGCUAUGGAGGUCGCCGGAAAAGUGGUGGCAGUGGUGGCUAGGUUAUAGACAAUUGGUCUUUAAUUUUCGAUUUGUGUUGAUUGUUGUCGCCAUUGUUGAUUGCAAUGAAAAAGAUGAGAAAGAGAAAAUAGAAUUGAAAAUGGAAUAUUAGAAAUGUUAAUUUAUAUUUUGACUGUUUUGCCCUUUGUUUAAUAAGAGUUGUUUAUUUAAUAAUUAAAAAAAAUAAAUUUGCCACAAACUUCUU
This 6000-nucleotide long non-coding RNA is filed under the name Panax ginseng (ginseng). Its description in RNAcentral is "long non-coding RNA (PGIN_LNC015816)". Lineage: Eukaryota; Viridiplantae; Streptophyta; Magnoliopsida; Apiales; Araliaceae. The record is from RNAcentral.